This 493-nucleotide ribosomal RNA is filed under the name uncultured bacterium. RNAcentral describes it as "bacterial SSU rRNA". It matches the Rfam family "Bacterial small subunit ribosomal RNA", at positions 28 to 516 of the family's 1533-position model. The record is from RNAcentral.
GAUGAACGCUGGCGGCGUGCUUAACACGUGCAAGUCGAACGGACUUUACAUGAAGCCUAGCGAUUGUAAAGUUAGUGGCGGACGGGUGAGUAACGCGUGAAUAACCUGCCUUAUACUGGGGGACAACAGUUGGAAACGACUGCUAAUACCGCAUAAGCGCACAGUUCUGCAUGGGACAGUGUGAAAAACUCCGGUGGUAUAAGAUGGAUUCGCGUCUGAUUAGUUAGUUGGUGAGGUAACGGCUCACCAAGGCGACGAUCAGUAGCCGGCCUGAGAGGGUGAACGGCCACAUUGGGACUGAGAUACGGCCCAGACUCCUACGGGAGGCAGCAGUGGGGAAUAUUGGGCAAUGGGCGCAAGCCUGACCCAGCAAUGCCGCGUGAAGGAAGAAGGCUUUCGGGUGUAAACUUCUUUGUUGGGAAUAAAAGACGCUACGUGCAGCGUUCUGCAUGUACCUUACGAAUAAGCAUCGGCUAAUUCCGUGCCAGCAGCC